Long non-coding RNA from Peromyscus californicus insignis, 1879 nucleotides. RefSeq lists it as uncharacterized. Lineage: Eukaryota; Metazoa; Chordata; Mammalia; Rodentia; Cricetidae. The transcript has 2 exons. The record is from RefSeq and is a predicted model, not a curated record.
CUCUCCCUUGGGAAAGGAGUUCCUGUCAUGCUCCGUUGUAAGAUCUCCCUCACCUUCUUGUCAGCUUCCAAGCCCCAGCAAUGCCCCACUACUGGAACUGUCUCCAAACCCAUCUGACCAAAAUCUCCCGGCAUCCUUUCUGGCAGCACUUGCAUGAAGCACCCCAUUUCCCAAUACACAUUUACCCUCAUCUCAACAGCUGGUGUACCCAGCCUGUUCAGCCAUAGGUGCAGCUGGAGGUCUGCUGAAAGAGCCAUGGCAUGUGGGAGGUAGUUUGGGUUGGUGGGGGUGGGAGGGGGUCGCUAGGGUUCUGGGCUCUCUCUUUGGCAGAUAUACAAGCUUGCCUAGUGAGGUUCAGAGACCUACCUGGACCACAAGUGAAUCAGCCAUGGAGCAAAGAAUUCCUGUAGCCACACUACUCCUACAAAGAAGCACAGCCACACCACCAGACCACAGUGAGCUGGCUGCUGCUCGUGUGAACUAACCUUUAGGUCCUCAAAAAACUCCCUAAGGAGGUAUCGUGAACACCUCUAACUUACAGGGGCACUGACAAGACGAAGUGAAGACUGUGCCCGCUGCCAUCCUAGGAGAGGAUAGCUACAGAGAAAAGUCUGCCAAGCUUCCUUAAAACUGAGGUGGCCAUCCUCUACCCUGCACAACUGUGAGAGAGCCUCCGAGAGCUGGGAACCCCUGCCAGAGCUUUGAAGAAAUGGACCCACUGUGUGGGGCAGACUCAGAGGCAUCUGUGACUGUAGCCCCUUCAAUGGCCACUCCAAAAGCUGCUGAUGCUGGGUACUCCCAGUGAUUCCUAUUCAGUCCUCCCUCUCCGUGCAGCAAAGCCUUGUUGAGAGGCAGAGGCAGCAAGCUUGCUCUGUGACCAUGGCAACCUCCCAAAAGGAUCGUGCUCCGUGCUCUGUCACAGUUAGUCCAGAGUCUGAAGCAAGAGUGAUGGGGGACUGUGCCUGCUUCAGUCACCUGCUGCCUCCAGCCCUUCCCUCAGCUUCCCAGGAUCUUUUGAGAUGAGAACUGAAGUCAAGCAAAUGGUGCCUGUUCCGAAACUUGGAAGGACAGAGAGUUUCGGGCCAGCCUGGGCUACAGAGCCCCAGGCCCCGAUGUCCCAAGCUCACCUUGACUGGAAAGCCUUCAUAUUCCAGGCGCAGCUGGGGAUCGAGGAAGGUAGCCUGCCAGCAGUUCAGAUGGGAGACCUCGUCUGUCAGAAUUACCUCCUGGAGCCAGGACUUCUUAGAAGACUUCAGAAGGGUCCUGUGGUCACUUGAUAAAUACAGCUGCAAACGGCACAUGAUCUGAGUCACGGCUACCGAGAAAGCUGGGGAAUGGGUGACCAAUGCACAGCAAGCAGGCACAAAAAAACAUCUAGAACCCUGUUCCUACCCAUCCUGUGAGAAAACAACUCUCCCCAUCCUUAGGAAUAUAUUGUCAGAAUAGUGUUUCCCCCCUCUUUCCCUUCCUCCCUCCUUCCCUGUACCCCUCUUCUCUUUCCUGUGAUUGUUUGAAUGAGAAUGGCCCCCACACUCAUAUGCUUGAAUACUUGGUCCCCAGUUGGUGAGACUGUUUGGGAAGGAUUAGGAGGUGUGGUCUUAUUGGGAGAGGUGUGUCUCUGGGGGUGGGUUUUGAGAUUUCAAAAGCCCACUCCAUUCUCAGUUAGCUAUCUUUCUGCUUCCUGCUUAAACAUCAGCUAUGAGCUCCCAGCUUCCAGUACCAUCUCUGCCCUACCUGAUGCCAUUCUCCCGGCCAUGAUGGUCAUGGACUCUUGACAAUCUGGAACCGUGAAUUUCCAAACUAAGUGCUUUCUUUUCUGUUGCCUUGGUCAUGGUGUUUUGUCUCAGAAACAGAAAAAUAAAACAUUUUCCAUACUCCA